UGAUAAGUGCCAAAAAUCGGUGAUUUUACAUAUAUAAUUUAGGCACUUAUUGGCUUGUUUUGUAAGUUAUUUCAAUGAAAAACUUCAACUAUUACUAAAUAUUAGUCUUUACUAAUAACUUAGUAUUUUUACUAUUUUGUAGUAAAUAUGUGAUAUAUUAGAUAUAAUAGAUGCCUAUAAAUUAUUUAUUAGAUACGUGUCUUUUAUUAAUAGGUGUUUAAAGAGAAAAAGAAAGAAAGCAGGAAACGUGGCAUUAAAGNNNNNNNNNNNNNNNNNNNNNNNNNNNNNNNNNNNNNNNNNNNNUGCAUAAGUGGAAGUCAAGUGGCAAAAUCAAUUUCUUAAGGUUGAAGGAUACAAUCAUACAAGGCCUAUAAGAGGCAUGCAAGAGUUCAUUCAUUCUUACACUCUCACAUACACGAGAGAACAGAGAGUUAAAAACAGAGGAAAAAGGAAGAGAGUGAGCAUAGAACGACGGAGGAAACGAGUUGGAUGCACACCAACUGUUCGAGAAAUCAACUGGUGUUGUUAUUUCAUCUCUUUUCUUCUCAUUUGUGUAAAGCUAUCAUGAUAAUGAGUAGUUAAAGACACUUUUGUUGGGAUUAGGUGUAAAUUACUCUAUUAGUAUGUGUUUCUAUUGAUCAUGGUUUUAUAUAUGGUUUUAGUUGUCUCUCAAUAUUGAUGUUAUCUUUGUUUUCGUUGUUUUAAUCUUUGAUUUGAAUUGUUAUAGACAUGUACCUUUUGAAUCUAAGAACUAGGAUAAUAUCUAUUGAACUCUAAAUUCUAGACAUAGAUUUAAGUUUAAUAUUCACUCAGAGUAUCGAAUCUCAAUGCUAUUGUAUUGAUUGACGAUCUGAGACAUCGGAGGUUAAUAGAUACAAUAGAUAUCUCGGCGUUAUCUGGACACGGAAACAUUCGACGAGCGAUACGUGAUAAUAUUGAUAGAUGACUAGAACCUGUGUAACUGAUUAGGGGAAUAUGUAUGAAUGAGUGAUUAAAAGCUAAUCCCAGCAAUUUAAUCUCUCUGUCAAAUUAAUCAUCUUUACUACUUUCAUGUUUUCGCAACUUUCGUAAUCAACCAUCUUUGAAAUCCUUUACUUGAAAUUAUAUUAAUUGUUGAACGGCAUCGAUAUCGCAUCAGUCCCUGUGGAGACGAUAAAAACAUACUUACUUUUGUACUUUCAACAU
Molecule: long non-coding RNA, 1185 nt
Filed under: Trifolium pratense (red clover)
Lineage: Eukaryota; Viridiplantae; Streptophyta; Magnoliopsida; Fabales; Fabaceae
Description: long non-coding RNA (TPRA_LNC005699)
Source: RNAcentral